Dicentrarchus labrax (European seabass) is the source of this 644-nucleotide long non-coding RNA. RefSeq lists it as uncharacterized. The transcript is spliced from 2 exons. NCBI's taxonomy places the organism in Eukaryota, Metazoa, Chordata, Actinopteri, Moronidae. The record is from RefSeq and is a predicted model, not a curated record.
CAGACACCCUCUCCACAUUCAAGAGUAGGCUUAAGACAUUCCUCUUUGAUAAAGCUUAUAGUUAGGGCUGGAUCAGGUGAGUCCUGAACCAUCCCUUAGUUAUGCUGCUAUAGGCCUAGACUAUCGGGGGAUUUCCCAUGGUGCACUGAGCUCCUCUCUUCCUCUCUCUUUCUGCACUCAUUCAUGUUCCUUUAAUGCAUGUUACUAACUUCACUUCUUCCCCGGAGUUCUUGUGCUUUCUCGUCUCGCAGGUUCUCAUGGAUCCUGGUGGAGCCUCCUGCCAUGGUCCUGCUUGACUGCCAUUGUCAAUACUGUUGUUGCUGUGCACCUGUCUGUCUGUCUGUCUGUCUCUCGCUCUCUCUCUCUGCCUCUCUCUCUCUCUCUCUCUCUCUCUCUCUCUCACCCCAACUGGUCGAGACAGACGACCACCCACCUAGAGCCGGAGGAUCUGUCCUAGGUUUCUGCCUUUUAACAGGCAGUUUUUCCUUGCCCUUGUCGCCAAGUGCUUGCUCAUGGUGGUACUGUUGGGUCUCUGUAAUUAAUGUUUUAAAGAGUUCGGUCUAGACCUGCUCUAUUUGAAAAGUGUCCUGAGAUAACUUCUGUUAUGAAUUGGCGCUAUACAAAUAAAAUUGAAUUGAACUGAA